This 253-nucleotide ribosomal RNA is filed under the name uncultured bacterium. RNAcentral's name for it is "partial 16S ribosomal RNA". It matches the Rfam family "Bacterial small subunit ribosomal RNA", at positions 524 to 776 of the family's 1533-position model. The record is from RNAcentral.
UACAGAGGUCCCGAGCGUUGUUCGGAUUCACUGGGCGUAAAGGGUGCGUAGGCGGUGAGGUAAGUACGAUGUGAAAUCUCCCUGCUCAACGGGGAGGGUGCACUGUAAACUGGUGAGCUAGAGGACGGUAGAGGGGGGUGGAAUUGCUGGUGUAGCGGUGAAAUGCGUAGAGAUCAGCAGGAACACCCGUGGCGAAGGCGGCCCCCUGGGCCGUACCUGACGCUGAGGCGCGAAGGCUAGGGGAGCGAACGGG